This 449-nucleotide ribosomal RNA is filed under the name uncultured bacterium. Its description in RNAcentral is "bacterial SSU rRNA". It matches the Rfam family "Bacterial small subunit ribosomal RNA", at positions 354 to 796 of the family's 1533-position model. The record is from RNAcentral.
GUGGGGAAUCUUCCGCAAUGGACGAAAGUCUGACGGAGCGACGCCGCGUGAGUGAUGAAGGCCCUUGGGUCGUAAAGCUCUGUCAUUGGGGACGAACGACCGCCUCAGGAAAUGGGGGCGGAGUGACGGUACCCAAGAAGGAAGCCACGGCUAACUACGUGCCAGCAGCCGCGGUAAUACGUAGGUGGCAAGCGUUGUCCGGAAUUAUUGGGCGUAAAGCGCGCGCAGGUGGGAUCUUAAGUCCAUUUUGAAAGUUCGGAGCUCAACUCCGUGAUGGGAUGGAAACUGGGAUUCUUGAGUAUCGGAGAGGAAAGCGGAAUUCCCCGUGUAGCGGUGAAAUGCGUAGAUAUGGGGAGGAACACCAGUGGCGAAGGCGGCUUUCUGGACGAUGUCUGACACUGAGGCGCGAAAGCCAGGGGAGCGAACGGGAUUAGAUACCCGAGUAGUCC